AGCUCUCCACGUAUCCCUUGUUUGACCGUAGGUUUUCAAACAUAGCCACAGGAGGGUUAUAGGGAUAAUUGGCUGGCAGCCUAGGGACUGUAUUUAAUUAAUGUGGAAUGCCCCAGCUGUAGCAGCAUUCCUUGCAGGAGCCACAGCCCACAUAGCUACAGGUGCUGUCCUGCUCUCUCUUCAGGCCCAGGGACUGCUCUUCUUCAUGCUGGAGUAUUGUGUGUUGCAACUUGUGCCACAUUUGGAAAAUAACACGCUUAGUGAUUUAUAAGGUGACUGUGGGUGCUUGCUGCUUGCUUCAGGUAAGUUCCUGUUAUGCCUAUCAAAGGGAGGAAGCCUGCCAGAAGAUACAGAAGAGCCAAGCAGGAGAAUGCAGAGAACUGUUCACUGCUCAUUACUGAUGUGCAACACUCGUCCUUGUAGCUCUGCACUGGGUAACAGGAACUGCCACGCUGUUUCCAGGAUCAGCCAGUGGCAGAUGGUUAGAGAAGGGGCCUUGUGAGACUGGCAGAAGCAGCCUGUCCUGUUCUGCUGUCUGGCUUAAGAGUGCCUAACUGCUGAUGGGUGAGAAUAUUUAGCCCUGGUACAGCACAGAAUAUCAAAGGGCUUGAAUUUGCUCAGCUUCUGCCAUCUCAAAUAUAAUUCUCUGUAUUCUCA
Long non-coding RNA from Oxyura jamaicensis (ruddy duck), 657 nucleotides. RefSeq lists it as uncharacterized. The transcript is spliced from 4 exons. Lineage: Eukaryota; Metazoa; Chordata; Aves; Anseriformes; Anatidae. The record is from RefSeq and is a predicted model, not a curated record.